Mercenaria mercenaria is the source of this 1244-nucleotide long non-coding RNA. RefSeq lists it as uncharacterized. The transcript is spliced from 3 exons. Lineage: Eukaryota; Metazoa; Mollusca; Bivalvia; Venerida; Veneridae. The record is from RefSeq and is a predicted model, not a curated record.
CUUUAAAACAGUAACUUGACGAUUAAUUUAAAAGGGAUAAUGAAUGGCAUAGCGCGAUUUACAGAUAAACUAUUGAUCAACUACUGAGGAACAUCUGGCAUAUUGCUAUGACCUUAAACAAAAAAGGAAAUCUCAAGGCAUGCCUACAUACCACAUGUUAGAAGAGUUUAAUGGCUGAAGGAUUAAAGAAUUUCCAGAAAAAUAAAAUUCUUUAUGACUUUUUGAAAGGAAAUAAAACACAAGGGACUAACAUAUUUGCUGACCAUCCAGUUGAAAGUAUGCCAAUGGUAUAAAGUGCAACUGUCACAAAAUAAGGCGAUAUUACUGCAAAAAUUCAUCAAGCUGAUUCAAACUACAAAUGGGAGUCAAGAAAAAAACUACAACUAACUGAACUGUCACAGUUCAACCGUGAGAAAUGUUUCGUAAAAGUAUGUUUUGUUGCCAUAACAGCAGUGAAGUGGUUAAAGUAAAACUGUCUUAAUUGUUUAAGCAAUACAGAAUAUAUAUUUUUAAAACUUCUCCAUGCAUAAAAUAUCUUGAGUGCUCUUUUUUAUUAAAAUUAAAUAACCAUACAGUUUCAAGAAAUUCGACACUAAACGCUACUUUUAUUUUUAUAAAAAAUAGUGCAUUGUUGCCAUGGUAUUAAACAUUAAUCUGACUAUAAAUUAUUGGAAAACAUUUUUCAUGUUUAUAUGUUCUAUUUGUCAAAAAAUUAAUGUAAGGUCAUAUUCUUUUCUAAGUAAUAACUGCAUCAACAAAACAUUAUGUUAUCAUUUGAAUCUGCCUUAAAAUAGCAAGAGUUACAACUGUGUUGUGGGUAUCAGAAAAUUAUGUAUAUCCCAAACAGUGUCACAUCAGUUUACAUGAAAUUAGGUUUUCUUACUUUUGAAUAUGAAAGUAGACAGUUUUCGAUGAAAAUAGUAUUUUGAAAAACACUUUUAACAUAUUCAAUUAUUUCAAGAACUUGAUAAAAAUGGUACUUGGGUAAGAAAAACAUCAUUGUUGCCAUGGUAACGAAUCACUGAUCAGUAUGACAUCUGUACUACUACUUUGAGCAAAAUCAGUUUAUAAUAUUUCUAAUAAUUAUAUCUUUUUCUUAACAGUUACAAAGAAAUAUGCCAAUGAAUCAAGUGUUCUAACAAAAAGGUUAAUGUCCUAAAGUCUGUCCCACCUAUUACGUUUACCUCGUUUCUGAAUUAUCAGUAUCGAUAAAAUCGUCCAAAAACAUAUUUAUAUACCAUACA